UGGGGAAUAUUGCACAAUGGGCGAAAGCCUGAUGCAGCGACGCCGCGUGAGGGAUGACGGCCUUCGGGUUGUAAACCUCUUUCAGUAGGGACGAAGCGCAAGUGACGGUACCUGCAGAAGAAGCACCGGCUAACUACGUGCCAGCAGCCGCGGUAAUACGUAGGGUGCGAGCGUUGUCCGGAAUUACUGGGCGUAAAGAGCCCGUAGUCGGUUUGUCACGUCGUCUGUGAAAUCCUAUGGCUUAACCCUGGACGUGCAGGCGAUACGGGCUGACUUGAGUACUACAGAGGAGACUGGAAUUUCUGGUGUAGCGGUGGAAUGCACAGAUAUCAGGACGAACACCGAUGGCGCAGGCAGGUCUCUGGGUAGUAACUGACGCUGAGGAGCGAAAGCAUGGGUAGCGAACAGG
This 409-nucleotide ribosomal RNA is filed under the name bacterium. RNAcentral's name for it is "partial 16S ribosomal RNA". It matches the Rfam family "Bacterial small subunit ribosomal RNA", at positions 355 to 776 of the family's 1533-position model. The record is from RNAcentral.